AAUCCUCACUUUCAAUUAAAUUCCAUCAUUUUUUCCCUCAUGAGAGAAAGAGAAUUUCCAGAGCGAAAUGGCAAAAGCUGCUGUGUUUCGUCUAGCAUCUUCCGUUCUCAAAUCUUCGCCUCCUAAACUUAUUCUCUUUGGAAUUCGAAGGUCGGGUUUUCUAAGCCAUGACUACUUGCGGCGCCCAAAUGUACCAAACACAGGUUGGGUUUUCAGAAACAUGAGCCAUGGGUCUGUGAGUUUGGUGAUAUCUCAAGGAAAACUCAAGUUUGAGACGUACCAAGUUGAUCCUCCUAAGAAGCACAAGUGGUUGACCAAGAAGAGGUUGAAGAUUCAGAGGAAGAGGGAGAAGCAUGAGAGGAAAGCAGCGAACAAGAGGGACCCCCGUCGGCUUCGCAUUAAGGGGAACAAGAAAAGCCACAAGUUUGCUAAUGCUGAGGACAAAAUCAAGUUCAAGCUUGAAAAGGCCAGAGUUAAGGAGGCUUUGCUGAUUGAAAGACUUAAGCGGUAUGAAAUUCCAAAAAUUCAGGGUCCUGUGGUACAACCAAAUUAUCUGACAGGUGAGGAGCGGUUUUAUAUGAAGAAAAUGGCCCAAAAGAAGUCUAACUAUGCCCCAAUUGGCAAACGAGGAAUUUUUGGAGGUGUUAUUCUUAAUAUGCAUUUGCAUUGGAAGAAACAUGAAACGGUAAAGGUUAUUUGCAAGCCCUGCAAGCCUGGCCAAGUACAUGAGUAUGCACAGGAAAUUGCUAGACUGAGUGGGGGAAUCCCAAUUCAGGUUGUUGGAGAUGACACCAUAAUAUUUUAUCGAGGAAAGAACUAUGUGCAGCCGGCAGUAAUGUCACCUGUAGAUACUUUAUCGAAAAAAAGGGCACUGGAGAAAUCCAAAUAUGAGCAAUCGCUGGAGUCUGUGCGGCACUUCAUUGCUAUUGCUGAGAAGGAAUUGGAGCUCUAUUACAGGCACAUUGCGCUUUAUGGUAACCCGAAUGAUGGAAAUCCCAUUUCAGUUUUGGAUGGUCCUACAAAAGAAACUGAGGCAUCAGAGAAACAUAAAAUACUAGAAAACCAAAUUCUAGACUCUGCUAGUGAUUUCUUUUCUGCAGGUCUUCUUGAGACAGAAUCAGACUCAUCAGAUUCAGAGCUGUUAAAAGCUGAUGAUUUUGAAGAUCACAACUAAUCAGAGACUUUUGGACUAUUGUCCGUCGGAAGAUGAUCAGUAUGCAAAAGCAGGGUACCCAAAACAUGUAUAUGGCAUGCCAGCGAAUAGUCAUUGUACCCAGCCUGACACUCAUACAAUGAGACAAAUCAAAGGUUCAGAACCCCAAGUUUUAAUCCCUCGGCUGGGAUAUCUAGCAAACUUUUCUGCACCACAAAAUGCUGUUUUACUGAAUAACCAAAUGCUCCACCACUGAACUUCCGAUAAUCACAACACAUUCAUUUGUGCUCACAAGGCAUGUUGCUUGCUCCAUCCACUCCAUAAAGGCCAAGAAAUCCAAUCCCAUGUCAUGAAAUUUGGUCACUUAUCUGAUACCUUCAUCCAAAGACUUUUUGCUCCAUUUUUAUGUAAUUCAAAAUGACAUUGUUUCUGCUACCCAUGUUUUUGAUUUGAUAGCGAUCCGGAUGUUGUUUCCUGGAUUUCGAUCUUUUCGGGUCUUUCCAAGUGUGGGUUUGUAGGGGAAGCACUUGUUAAAUUUAUGUCCAUGGACGCAGAACCCAAUGUUACUACUCUUGUGACUGUUUUGUCUUCGUGUUCUAGUUUAAGAGCUUUCAAGUUAGGUAAAGCUGUUCAUGGCCAUUGUUUGAGGAACGUACACAAGUGUAAUAUGAUUUUGGACAAUGCAAUGUUGGAUUUCUAUCUGAGAUCUGGUUCUUUGGUGGCUGCAAGAUACUUGUUUGUCAUUAUGCCCAAGAGAGAUUUUGUUUCUUGGAGUAGCAUUGUGGGUGGUUAUGCACAUAGAGGUUUAUGUGAGGAGGCAAUGAGACUUUUCCAACAACUGGUGCUGGGCUGGGAAGUUGAGCUGAAUGAGGCUACCAUUGUCAAUGUAUUGUCAGCAUGUUCUUCUGUUUGUUCCUUGAGUUCAAGCCAGCAGGUGCAUUUCUAUAUCAGUACUCAGCCAGAUCUCAUGGUGAAUAGCAAUGUGGGAAAUGCCUUGAUCAACAUGUAUGUUAGGAGUGGACAUUUGGGUAUGGCUAUUUCGGUUUUUAAGGCCUUGGAGUGCAAAGAUAUCAUUUUAUGGAGUACCAUAAUAAGCAGUACGGCAUACAUGUGUUGCAGCUCUUUUCCUGAAUGCUAGUCAGUGGGGUUUCUCCUGAUGGUGUAACCUUCCUUGGGUUAUUAACAGCAUGCAGUCAUGCAGGCCUUGUAAACCAAGGGUUGAUGUUCUUCAACUAUGAAGAAAGUUUACUGGAUUGUCCCUGAAACACAAUAUCAUGCUUGUUUGGUUGGUAUGUACGGUUGAGCUGGGCUCUUAGAUAGGCUUUUAUUAAAGAAAUGCCUUUGAAAGCUGAUGGUUCUGUUUGGGGAGCUCUGCUUAGUGCUUGCAAAAUUCAUGAGAAUGAGACGAUGAUUGAGAGAAUCAGACAAGGACUCCCAAAUAAUGCAGGAGUUAGCAUUGGUUCGUGAUGAAGUAUGGGGUUGAAGACACAGCCAGGUUGUAGCUGGAUUGAGACUGGUCCAUCCAUUUGACCUAUAUGCAGCACGAUCCCCAUGUUGGCCAUUGGGAAAUACCAAACUAAUUAUGGUUUUCAGAAACUUGAGUGAAUAUGGUGAUAUCGGAAGAUAAACUCAAGUUUGAGAUGAUGAAAUUGUUCCUCCGAAAAAUGGGAACCAGAAGAGGUUGAAGCUGCAGAGGAACAGAGAAGCAGGAAUCAAAACAGCCAAUAAGAGGGACCCAAAUCUGCUCAGGGUCGAGGGGAAGAGUCAAAAGGCAGAAAUUUGCUAAUGCUGAGGAGAAUUUCGAGAGAAUCAAGUACAAGGUCAAAAGGAGAAAUGAAGGCUGAAGCUUAAGAGGCAUUGGUAUUACUAGGAAGGAGCAAGACUGUACUGUAUGAUAUUGGUGACCAAAACGGCGGAAUCUCAAUUCAAUCUUUGAUAGUGCUACGAAAGAGACGGGGGUGAUAUCUAGAUUCUUACUAGUGAUUUCUUUUCUGCACGACUCCUGGAGAUUACUCAUAUUCAGAGCUAUCACAAAGCCAUGGUUCUGAAGAUGACAACUAUCAAUAGGUGAAUCGGAUUCCCAAGAUGAUAGGAGUCUUGAUUCUGAUGAUGAUGAAGAAGCAAGCUCGCCAAGAGGCAUAAUAACACGUCAAAUGUUUGGUAUUAUUUUUUAACAAGAUAAUUUUUUUAUCAAAAUUUAACUUUUUUUUAUUCCUUGUGCGUUAUGAUUAUGUAAUCUUAUCAAUUUAAUAGUUAUGAUAAUGUUAGAUGUUUGCUCGAAGUAUCAAAAUGUCAAUCAAAUUAUUCCCAUA
RNA transcript from Rosa rugosa (rugosa rose), 3465 nucleotides. RefSeq lists it as uncharacterized. The record is from RefSeq and is a predicted model, not a curated record. NCBI's taxonomy places the organism in Eukaryota, Viridiplantae, Streptophyta, Magnoliopsida, Rosales, Rosaceae. The transcript is spliced from 6 exons.